RNAcentral lists this ribosomal RNA (213 nucleotides) under uncultured bacterium. Its description in RNAcentral is "partial 16S ribosomal RNA". It matches the Rfam family "Bacterial small subunit ribosomal RNA", at positions 524 to 735 of the family's 1533-position model. The record is from RNAcentral.
UACGUAGGGUGCAAGCGUUGUCCGGAAUUAUUGGGCGUAAAGAGCUCGUAGGCGGUCUGUCGCGUCGGCUGUGAAAACCCGGAGCUCAACUCCGGGCCUGCAGUCGAUACGGGCAGACUGGAGUUCGGCAGGGGAGACUGGAAUUCCUGGUGUAGCGGUGAAAUGCGCAGAGUAUCAGGAGGAACACCGGUGGCGAAGGCGGGUCUCCUGGGC